UCUCCGUAGGUGAACCUGCGGAGGGAUCAUUACAGAGUCCAUGCCCUACCAGGUAGAUCUCCCACCCUAUGUUAUUAUUACUUUGUUGCUUUGGCGGGCCGUUAGGCUCCGGCCCGACUACCGGCCCCGGCUGGUAAGCGCCCGCCAGAGGACCCAAAACCCUGAAUAUUAGUGUCGUCUGAGUACUAUAUAAUAGUUAAAACUUUCAACAACGGAUCUCUUGGUUCUG
This 229-nucleotide unclassified non-coding RNA is filed under the name plant metagenome. Its description in RNAcentral is "partial contains small subunit ribosomal RNA, internal transcribed spacer 1, and 5.8S ribosomal RNA". The record is from RNAcentral.